CCUACGGGAUGCAGCAGUCGAGAAUCAUUCACAAUGGGGGAAACCCUGAUGGUGCGACGCCGCGUGGGGGAAUGAAGGUCUUCGGAUUGUAAACCCCUGUCAUGUGGGAGCAAAUUAAAAAGAUAGUACCACAAGAGGAAGAGACGGCUAACUCUGUGCCAGCAGCCGCGGUAAUACAGAGGUCUCAAGCGUUGUUCGGAAUCACUGGGCGUAAAGCGUGCGUAGGCUGUUUCGUAAGUCGUGUGUGAAAGGGGCGGGCUCAACCCGCGGACGGCACAUGAUACUGCGAGACUAGAGUAAUGGAGGGGGAACCGGAAUUCUCGGUGUAGCAGUGAAAUGCGUAGAUAUCGAGAGGAACACUCGUGGCGAAGGCGGGUUCCUGGACAUUAACUGACGCUGAGGCACGAAGGCCAGGGGAGCGAAAGGGAUUAGAUACCCUUGUAGUC
Molecule: ribosomal RNA, 446 nt
Filed under: uncultured bacterium
Lineage: Bacteria
Description: partial 16S ribosomal RNA
Rfam family: Bacterial small subunit ribosomal RNA
Source: RNAcentral